UGAGGAAUAUUCCCCAAUGGGCGAAAGCCUGAGGGAGCGACGCCGCGUGGAGGAUGAAGCCCUUUGGGGUGUAAACUCCUUUUUUAGAGGAUGAAACGGUGGGGUAACCUGCCUAAGACAGUACUCUAAGAAUAAGCCUCGGCUAACUACGUGCCAGCAGCCGCGGUAAUACGUAGGAGGCGAGCGUUGUCCGGAUUUACUGGGCGUAAAGCGCGCGCAGGCGGCUCUAUAAGUAAGGUGUGAAAUCUCCUGGCUCAACCGGGAGGGUGCAUUUUAGACUGUAGAGCUUGAGGUCGGUAGAGGGGGGUGGAAUUGCUGGUGUAGCGGUGAAAUGCGUAGAGAUCAGCAGGAACACCCGUGGCGAAGGCGGCCCCCUGGGCCGAUCCUGACGCUGAGGCGCGAAGGCUAGGGGAGCGACCCG
RNAcentral lists this ribosomal RNA (421 nucleotides) under uncultured bacterium. Its description in RNAcentral is "bacterial SSU rRNA". It matches the Rfam family "Bacterial small subunit ribosomal RNA", at positions 355 to 775 of the family's 1533-position model. The record is from RNAcentral.